Molecule: ribosomal RNA, 538 nt
Filed under: Kocuria dechangensis
Lineage: Bacteria; Bacillati; Actinomycetota; Actinomycetes; Micrococcales; Micrococcaceae
Description: bacterial SSU rRNA
Rfam family: Bacterial small subunit ribosomal RNA
Source: RNAcentral
UGGGGGGCCCUACGGGAGGCAGCAGUGGGGAAUAUUGCACAAUGGGCGAAAGCCUGAUGCAGCGACGCCGCGUGAGGGAUGACGGCCUUCGGGUUGUAAACCUCUUUCAGUAGGGAAGAAGCGCAAGUGACGGUACCUGCAGAAGAAGCGCCGGCUAACUACGUGCCAGCAGCCGCGGUAAUACGUAGGGCGCAAGCGUUGUCCGGAAUUAUUGGGCGUAAAGAGCUCGUAGGCGGUUUGUCGCGUCCGCUGUGAAAGCCCGGGGCUCAACCCCGGGUCGGCAGUGGGUACGGGCAGACUAGAGUGCAGUAGGGGAGACUGGAAUUCCUGGUGUAGCGGUGAAAUGCGCAGAUAUCAGGAGGAACACCGAUGGCGAAGGCAGGUCUCUGGGCUGUUACUGACGCUGAGGAGCGAAAGCAUGGGGAGCGAACAGGAUUAGAUACCCUGGUAGUCCAUGCCGUAAACGUUGGGCACUAGGUGUGGGGGACAUUCCACGUCCUCCGCGCCGUAGCUAACGCAUUAAGUGCCCCUGCCUGCG